AACGAACGCUGGCGGCAUGCCUAACACAUGCAAGUCGAACGAGAUCUUCGGGUCUAGUGGCGCACGGGUGCGUAACGCGUGGGAAUCUGCCCUUUGGUUCGGAAUAACAGUUGGAAACGACUGCUAAUACCGGAUGGUGACGAAAGUCCAAAGAUUUACGCCAGAGGAUGAGCCCGCGUAGGAUUAGCUAGUUGGUGUGGUAAAGGCGCACCAAGGCGACGAUCCUUAGCUGGUCUGAGAGGAUGAUCAGCCACACUGGGACUGAGACACGGCCCAGACUCCUACGGGAGGCAGCAGUGGGGAAUAUUGGACAAUGGGCGAAAGCCUGAUCCAGCAAUGCCGCGUGAGUGAUGAAGGCCUUAGGGUUGUAAAGCUCUUUUACCCGGGAUGAUAAUGACAGUACCGGGAGAAUAAGCUCCGGCUAACUCCGUGCCAGCCGCCGCGGUAA
Molecule: ribosomal RNA, 448 nt
Filed under: uncultured bacterium
Lineage: Bacteria
Description: partial 16S ribosomal RNA
Rfam family: Bacterial small subunit ribosomal RNA
Source: RNAcentral